UACAGGUCCGUGUAAGAAUCAGGCAAAUCAAAUAAAAAGUGAUAAGUCCAUAUACACGGAAUAUGGUGAAAUUUUGGGAACUUUGUUAUCCAUUAAUAAAAGUGACAAAACCAUAGUAUUACAUCGAUGUAUGCCAUAUUUGUCUAGAAAAAAUAGAUUGAAUGCGUUCGCCGUCCGCAUAUACAACAGUGUAAUGCAUUGAAAGUAGGUCAACUUCGAUAUCGAUUUUCUGUUAACAGCAGAUGCCUAGCACACAUUUUUUUUUAUAUUUGAAAUCUUUUGAUACAUAUCUUCUCUUUCAAUGAAUAAAAAGUUUGGAAAUUUUUAUUUGAAAAAUGUUAUUCACUAAAGAAAAAUCAUCGAAACGCGUCAUUGACUGUAUUGUUUAUCUCCCUUGCUUGGUUACCUCUUUUUAAAAAAGGCGCGUAAUCUGCACAACAACAAUAACAAAUGGCAGACGAGAUGGUCCCGCCGGACAUGAAGGGCAGUAUAAGUCUGUUUUAACCCAUUCAUGUGGGGUUUAAUCCUGUAUGUAAUCAGGAUAAAAGUGUACGAAAGCUCGCUGAAUGAGUUAAGACAUAACGCCGCGGCAUUGACAGAUCUCAGACUGCGUGGAGGUUGCCAGACUACACGAACCAGCCGUGGACAAUGCCAAUGAACAUGAUGAAGGAGAGUUGAUAGCACUAAGAUGUGGUAUUUUCAGCAUAGAAUUUUCACCCAUGUUUUAGAAUCUGUGAUACAGAAUUGGUUUUGUGUGGCUUCACUUCUUCAGAAUUUUAUAAUGACUAAUGACAUGUACCACUGUGGACAUAUCUGGUUAUGCUUACAAGAAAUAAGUAAAAGAACAGGUUUUGCUGGAUGUCAAGUCUCUGAAUGUGCUAACUACACCUCAUAAAACAAACUGAUAACACACAAGUUUAAUGGAAUAAAGGAUUUUAAUGAGUUGUGAGUUGAAGAAGAUGGUAUACUACUGAGGAAAGCCUACAAUAUUGGCAAAGUAAAAUUUAUUCCUUAUAAAUCCAUAGACCAAAUGGAUUUUGGUAACCGACAGGAAAAUAAAACAGAAAAAUGUGUGUUUAUAUCAGGAUUUUACUUACCUGUUAAUGUAACUGGAAAAAUCAAAACACCUAAAACACGGUGCAGUUAAUCUCCAUGAAGGACCAGAAAUAAAAACAGAAAAUGGUGAAGACUCAACCAUAUUAUCCUCUCAUCACUCAGAAAGUUCUGAUUAAAUGCUGUUUUUUUUGCUCAAAAGUUGGCUGUGUCAUUAGAUUUGCUACCUUAAAUAGACUUGAAAACCAUCUAUUGAUAGCUAU
Long non-coding RNA from Mytilus trossulus (common blue mussel), 1316 nucleotides. RefSeq lists it as uncharacterized. NCBI's taxonomy places the organism in Eukaryota, Metazoa, Mollusca, Bivalvia, Mytilida, Mytilidae. The record is from RefSeq and is a predicted model, not a curated record. The transcript is spliced from 3 exons.